Molecule: ribosomal RNA, 492 nt
Filed under: uncultured bacterium
Lineage: Bacteria
Description: partial 16S ribosomal RNA
Rfam family: Bacterial small subunit ribosomal RNA
Source: RNAcentral
AGUGAACGCUGGCGGUAGGCCUAACACAUGCAAGUCGAACGGCAGCACAGUAAGAGCUUGCUCUUACGGGUGGCGAGUGGCGGACGGGUGAGGAAUACAUCGGAAUCUACUUUUUCGUGGGGGAUAACGUAGGGAAACUUACGCUAAUACCGCAUACGACCUACGGGUGAAAGCAGGGGAUCUUCGGACCUUGCGCGAUUGAAUGAGCCGAUGUCGGAUUAGCUAGUUGGCGGGGUAAAGGCCCACCAAGGCGACGAUCCGUAGCUGGUCUGAGAGGAUGAUCAGCCACACUGGAACGGAGACACGGUCCAGAGUCCUACGGGAGGCAGCAGUGGGGAAUAUUGGACAAUGGGCGCAAGCCUGAUCCAGCCAUACCGCGUGGGUGAAGAAGGCCUUCGGGUUGUAAAGCCCUUUUGUUGGGAAAGAAAAGCAGCAGGUUAAUACCCCGCUGUUCUGACGGUACCCAAAGAAUAAGCACCGGCUAACUUCGUG